GGUAUGUAUCUCAGUGGCAGAGUGCUUGCCUAUAUGCCUAAGUCCCUAGUUUCAAUCCCUAGCAGUACCA
Molecule: transfer RNA, 70 nt
Filed under: Marmota monax (woodchuck)
Lineage: Eukaryota; Metazoa; Chordata; Mammalia; Rodentia; Sciuridae
Description: tRNA.Tyr
Source: RNAcentral